This 497-nucleotide ribosomal RNA is filed under the name uncultured bacterium. RNAcentral's name for it is "partial 16S ribosomal RNA". It matches the Rfam family "Bacterial small subunit ribosomal RNA", at positions 28 to 507 of the family's 1533-position model. The record is from RNAcentral.
GAUGAACGCUGGCGGCGUGCCUAAUACAUGCAAGUCGAGCGAACGGACGAGAAGCUUGCCUCUCUGAUGUUAGCGGCGGACGGGUGAGUAACACGUGGAUACCCUACCUAUAAGACUGGGAUAAAGUCGGGUAACCGGAGCUAACACCGGCUAAUAUUUUGAAACGCAUGGUUCAACAGUGAAAGACGGUCUUGCUGUCACUUAUAGAUGGAUCCGCGCUGCAUUAGCUAGUUGGUAAGGUAACGGCUUACCAAGGCAACGAUGCAUAGCCGACCUGAGAGGGUGAUCGGCCACACUGGAACUGAGACACGGUCCAGACUCCUACGGGAGGCAGCAGUAGGGAAUCUUCCGCAAUGGGCGAAAGCCUGACGGAGCAACGCCGCGUGAGUGAUGAAGGUCUUCGGAUCGUAAAACUCUGUUAUUAGGGAAGAACAUAUGUGUAAGUAACUGUGCACAUCUUGACGGUACCUAAUCAGAAAGCCACGGCUAACUACGUG